CCACCCUGAGUUACCGCCUGUGCAGCUCUGGCCACCUGGCUCCCCAUACUAGCUGCUGAUAUUUGGAGUUCUUACAACAUGGCAGACAUUGACAACAAAGAACCGUCUGAACUUGAUCAAGAUUUGGAUGACGUUAAAAAAGUAGAAGAAGAAGAAACUGGUGAAGAAACAAAAAUCAAAGCACGUCAGCUAACCUUUCAGAUAAUGCAAAAUCCUCAGAUUCUUCAGCUCUUCAAGAAAGACUUGAUGGUAUAAUAGAAACACCAACAAUGUAUCCAACAGGAUACACUGAAAGCCUGCCUAGGGUAGUUAAAAGACAAGUGAAUGCUCUCAAAAACCUGUAAGUUAAAUGUGCACAUAUAGAAGCCCAAUUCUAUGAGGAAGUUCACAAUCUUGAAAGGAAGUAUGCCCUUCUCUGUCAGCCUCUAUUUGAUGAGUGAUUUGAGAUUAUUAAUGCAAUUUAUGAACCUACAGAAGAAGUGAAUGGAAACCAGAUGAAUAACAUGAGAUCUCAGAGGAGUUGAAAGAAAAGGCCAAGACUGAAGAUGAGAAAAAAGAUGAAGAAAAAGAAGAUGCCAAAGGAAUGCCUGAAUUUUGGUUAAUUGUUUUUAAGAAUGUUGACUUGCUCAGUGAUAUGCUUCAGGAACGUGAUGAACCCAUUCUGAAGCACUUGGAAGAUAUUAAAGUGAAGUUCCCAGAUGCUGGCCAGCCCAUGAGUUUUGUCUUAGAAUUUCACUUUGAAACCAAUGAAUAUUUUAAAAAUGAAGUGCUGACAAAGACAUAUAGGAUGAGGUCAGAACCAAGUGAUUCUGAUCCCUUUUAUUUUGAUGGACCAGAAAUUAUGGGUUUUACAGGGUGCCAAAUAGAUUGGAAAAAGGAAAGAAUGUCACUUUGAAAACCAUUAAGAAGAAGCAGAGAGACAAGGGACGUGGGACAGUUCGUACUCUGACUAAAACAGUUUCCAAUGACUCUUUCUUUAAUUUUUUUUUUGCCCCCCUGAAGUUUCUGAGAGCGGAGAUCUGGAUGAUGCUGCUGAAGCAAUCCUUGCUGCAGACUUCGAAAUUGGUCACUUUUUACCUGAGUGUAUAAUCCGAGGAUCAGGGUUAUACUUUACUGGGGAAGCUACUGAAGAUGAUGAUGAUGAUUAUGAUGAAGAAGGUGAAGAAGCGGAUGAGGAAGGAGAAGUAGAAGGAGAUGAGGAAAACGAUCCAGACUACGACCCAAAGAAGGAUUAAAAUCCAGCAGAGCACAAGCAGUAA
This is an RNA transcript of Piliocolobus tephrosceles (Ugandan red Colobus), 1259 nucleotides long. It is a transcript of the gene named nucleosome assembly protein 1-like 1, with no coding region annotated. Lineage: Eukaryota; Metazoa; Chordata; Mammalia; Primates; Cercopithecidae. The record is from RefSeq and is a predicted model, not a curated record. The transcript is spliced from 2 exons.